GAUGAACGCUGGCGGCGUGCCUAAUACAUGCCAGUCGAGCGAACGGACGAGAAGCUUGCUUCUCUGAUGUUAGCGGCGGACGGGUGAGUAACACGUGGAUAACCUACCUAUAAGACUGGGAUAACUUCGGGAAACCGUAGCUAAUACCGGAUAAUAUUUUGAACCGCAUGGUUCAAAAGUGAAAGACGGUCUUGCUGUCACUUAUAGAUGGAUCCGCGCUGCAUUAGCUAGUUGGUAAGGUAACGGCUUACCAAGGCAACGAUGCAUAGCCGACCUGAGAGGGUGAUCGGCCACACUGGAACUGAGACACGGUCCAGACUCCUACGGGAGGCAGCAGUAGGGAAUCUUCCGCAAUGGGCGAAAGCCUGACGGAGCAACGCCGCGUGAGUGAUGAAGGUCUUCGGAUCGUAAAACUCUGUUAUUAGGGAAGAACAUUUGUGUAAGUAACUGUGCACAUCUUGACGGUACCUAAUCAGAAAGCCACGGCUAACUACGUG
Molecule: ribosomal RNA, 497 nt
Filed under: uncultured bacterium
Lineage: Bacteria
Description: partial 16S ribosomal RNA
Rfam family: Bacterial small subunit ribosomal RNA
Source: RNAcentral